UAUCCAGAAAUAUAUCAAAGAUGGGUUUUAUGUUGUGUGCGAGAAAACCUGCUUCAGUGUGAACACUUGAGGGUUUAUAAUAAUUUUCGAGUUUGUGAUAAGCCUUUUCGACGAGAGGAUGUUGGACGCAACAACAAAUUGUUGAAAGGAGUAGUACCAUCAUUAAAUUUGCCAGUAUGUGUAUAAAAUUAUCAAAAUGUUGUUAGGACUGAGGCAUUUUUUUUUCACAUGUAGGAUAUCAGUACUUAGAAGUCACUACUUCAAGUGCUUCGAAUAACACGCCCACUACUCCACAUGCAGAUAUGGGACUUUAGGUUGCUUCAACAUCCACCAGUGCAAUCUCAUUGGAGACUUCAGGGUAACCCCGCUUAAAGGGGAAACAGCGUUAGUCAGGAUCAUUAUUGGAUAUUUUUUGACAGCUAAACAGUUUAUUGGAGGAAGUUGGUGUCCACAAACAAGACGACUUAUCACCAAAAGCCCAACAUUUAUACAGGAAAGCAGUGAUGUAUAAGAGGAAAUUCCAGCGCCAGAGUAUAACAUCCUAAA
Molecule: non-coding RNA, 546 nt
Organism: Onthophagus taurus
Lineage: Eukaryota; Metazoa; Arthropoda; Insecta; Coleoptera; Scarabaeidae
Source: RefSeq, a predicted model, not a curated record